Molecule: long non-coding RNA, 1284 nt
Organism: Poecilia latipinna (sailfin molly)
Lineage: Eukaryota; Metazoa; Chordata; Actinopteri; Cyprinodontiformes; Poeciliidae
Exons: 2
Source: RefSeq, a predicted model, not a curated record
ACUGGCUUCAUUUUCACUCUUACAUUAAACUUUAUGACACAUUAAAUUACAAGUGGAUUGUCCUUAUUGUCUCCAAGUGCAUUCUGGGUAAAGCUUGUCACCAGCCGAUGAAGUUAACGUGAGUUGAGUUCCAUGAAGCGGCAAAGUGAAAAGGAUGGAAAAAAGCGAGCAAAGAAAAGCCAAAAACUGGACGCAUAUUUUGUUCCUCGUCUUGGAGAUGAGCCGGACCAAAUCAGCAAAGGAGCCGGACUAGUUACAGGUACACUGAUUGUAUCAACCGAGCUGCCCAGCUCACAACCCCUUUUCUCUCCGUCUGUGGAACAGAGGUGAUGUCAGGGACUGAAGGCUGAGUUAUUGUUGCAGUUUUGACAGUUCGGGUUGAGCGCGUUUUUGAGCCAAGACAGCAGUAUGGCAUUUAUAGUUAAGUGUUCACAUUGUAGCCGCCUGGAAGACCAUCUUCUAGAUCGUCCAGUUUGUGUGAACGCGAUAUGCGCCGAGUUACAAACAUCCAGAGGUGCACGAGGUGCUGCGACAGGCUGCGCAUGUGGCGUGUGUAAUUUUUUUUUUAACGGUGGAAUUCUGGGAACCCCAAAAUGUAAAAAAACGUAGAUUUUACGGUAAAACGCCGGCAGCUGGGGUUGGCAAAAUUCCACCGUAAAAACAAUUUACGGUGUUGGGAACCCAGGUUGUUGGAAUGGUUCCUUUUUGCUGAUUUCCCCCUCUUUUACCACCAGAGGGUGCCAAGAGGCUGUUCCCUCCCAAGGGCGUUGCCGUUGAUUCCGGGAUUCCUGCACAGCUGCAAUUAAUCAGAUCAUCUGGAGGAGUAUAUGAGGACAGAGCUGCCGACACUUCAGAUCCAGAGUGUUAGCCAGUAUUUGGUACUCCAGCCCUCCAUGCUUCUCACUGUGAUUUCCUGUUGUGGACUUCCAAGUGAUAUCCCUUUGUGCUUCUUCCUCAGGUUAUUCCUUGUGACGCUGUGGACCCACUGGUUGCCAGAGUUCCACUGACACCUCUGCAGUAGACCAAACCUCUUUGGAUUACCCUGUUGUCAGUCUCACUCGCUCCUCGCCUUCUGUGAUCCAAAGCUUACCUCUCCUCCACCACAGCCUCUUCAUCAGUCAAGCAGCAACCCUCCACCUGAACCAAACCAAGGUAACCACAGUGAUUCUUCCCCCCAGACAAGACCUACCUCCACCCAAUGCUCCAGUGAUCCAGAUUGCAGACUUUCCCCAGAACCCGAUUGUUGAUCAUUAUUUUGUGUUUACAAUAAACUUAUUUAACUGA